RNAcentral lists this small RNA (29 nucleotides) under Bombyx mori (domestic silkworm). RNAcentral describes it as "piRNA piR-bmo-2108523". The record is from RNAcentral. Lineage: Eukaryota; Metazoa; Arthropoda; Insecta; Lepidoptera; Bombycidae.
UCAUACGCGAAUUUGUCGCGCCCGCUGUG